AUUUCGGGUGACUUUGGCCCGCCAGGGUGACUUUGGCUCAUUUUGGGAAAAAUAUAUUUUAGCAACUAGGGCAAUUGUACAAUAAAUUAUCAAGUAAAUUUCAUUAUACCGCACCAUCAGUACCAUAUGAACUGUUUGAAAAUUUUAAUAAAUUAUGCUAAUACUUGUUAUGUCACGAAAAAAACGAAUUUCUAAAAUUUGGUCAUUCCACAUAAGAUUUUUUGACUGCAAAAAUUGGUUGGCAACCAAUAAUACUUCCAAGAGUAAGAUUAAUUGCAUAGUGGCAUAUUGAAAAUCUGUGAAUUCUUAACCUCCGUACAUCGUUAUUUCAGUCUAAACAUAGACAGUAAGACGGUCGGAUAUUAUUUUGCAAGGUGCUACAAAAUUUAACGGUUUUCGGGUGACUUUGUCCCAGUUUGUUGAUUGUUGGAUUUUGGUCAUUGGUUGCUUCUAUAUUAAAUUAAAAUACUUCGUCUAAUUCUUCAUUUAGUGAGAGCUAUAGGGAUAAUGAAGAUCUACAUAAGCUUUCCAUUGGAGUUGGAGACUUCGUAAUUGUAUCUGACUACUUUGACAGCUUUCCAGGAAAAUUCGAUGGAUUUGUAAGAGGUAGUAAUAACUGUUACGGUUGGGUGCAAGUAAUGGUACUGGGUGAAAGAAGUUUAUGGCAAUGGCCCGAAGUCUCCGUAAGAAAAUCCUACCACUUGGCUAAUGUUGAUUUCACUGAGCCAUUGGAACUUGUAGAUAACCGAUAUUUCUUUCCAGAUUUAAAAAAAAGCUUGUAAAUCGUUUUAUUGUUCAUUUUUUGUUAAGAAAUGAUGUUUUUUGUUAACCUAGGGUCCUAUGUAAAGUUUCAUGUUAGUUUUAGUUUUUCAUUGUUUGAAAUUUAAAUAAAUUUUUUUCACCUAACAAAA
This 911-nucleotide long non-coding RNA is filed under the name Diabrotica virgifera virgifera (western corn rootworm). RNAcentral's name for it is "uncharacterized LOC126889593". The record is from RNAcentral. Lineage: Eukaryota; Metazoa; Arthropoda; Insecta; Coleoptera; Chrysomelidae.